Pongo pygmaeus (Bornean orangutan) is the source of this 2155-nucleotide long non-coding RNA. RefSeq lists it as uncharacterized. The transcript has 3 exons. NCBI's taxonomy places the organism in Eukaryota, Metazoa, Chordata, Mammalia, Primates, Hominidae. The record is from RefSeq and is a predicted model, not a curated record.
CCUGCGUGCUCGCUGUCCCUGUUCCUGUUCCUGGAGCACUGUUCCUGCCGCCCUUUGCCCAGCCGUUGCCUUGCACCCCUCAUCGGGAGGCCUUUGGUGGCCAUGUGCCCUCUCUCUCCGGCCUCUGUUGUUUCCCUCCCAGAAUCUGCCACCAUUGAUAACGAUCUUCUGAACCUGCCUCUUUACAACGUUCCCUAAGGACAGAAUGCAAGCUUCCUGCAGCCAGUGAAGCCCACAAACGUAUCCUCAGGGCCCAGCACAAGGACUGGCACACAAGGACCCCGACCGUGACUUGCUGAACGAGAUGAGGUCUCACUGUGUUGCCUAGGUUGGUCUUGAACUCCUGGACUCAAGCAAUCCACCCACUUCGACUCCCAAAGUGCUGAGAUUACAGGUUUGAACCACCGCGCCUGUCCCAAAGCCUGCUUUUCUUGAGCUUUGGUUCUGUUGGCAAAACUGAGCCCAGACAGUCAACUCUCUUCAUCAACCUCCCACCAGCAUUUUCUGUGGUUCCACCCCUCUCCUGCAAGGAUGGUGACAGUAACAUUAAGAGGACGUAACAUUCAUUGAACGCUCGAUACUCAUGCUGAGGGAAGCCAGCUUCCAUGUUGUAAGGAUGCUGAAGCAGCACUGUGGAGAUCCAUGUGGCAAGGAGCCGAGGCCUCUGCCAGCAGCCAGCGCCAGUCUGCCAGCGAGAUGAGCAAGCCGUCUUGCAGGUGGAUCCUCUAACUGCAGUCAAGCCUUCAGCUGAAUCUCGACUACAACCUCAUGAGAGAUUCUGACUCAGAACCAUCCAGUUAAGCAGUUCCUGAAUUCCUGGCCCAUAGAGACUAUGCUGAGAUAAUACAUUUUUAUUGUUGUUGUUUGGAGACAGAGUCUCCCUAUGUCACCCAGGCUGGAGUGCAGUAGCACAAUUUUGGCUCACUGUAGCCUCGACCUCCGAGCUUAAGUGAUCCUCCCACCUCAGCCUCCCAAGUAGCUGGGACCACAGGUGCAUGACACCAUGCCCGGCUAAUUUUUAAAAAUUUCUUGUAGAGAUGGGGGUCUCCAUGUUGCCCAGGCUAGUCUCGAACUCCCAGGCUCAAGUGAUCCUCCCACCCUGACCUCCCAAAGUGCUGGGAUUACAGGCAUGAGCCACCAUGCCUGGCCUUUUAUUGUUGUUUUAAGCUGCUGAUUUUGGGGGAUGAUUUGUUACCCAGGUAACUACUACAAGGCCUAGCACUCCUCUUGGGAGGAUAGGGUCCCUGUGUUACCUGAAUCAGAGAUAUAUGGAACAUUGGUAACGAAUGAAGUUCCUAAAAUUUGCCCAGACACCCUGAAUUGAAGUGGAAGGGGAUGGACAGGGCGAGAGUCUGCCUUUUUCAUGAGCCCCCCGAGCGAUUCUCAUGUAUCUCUGAGGCUGAGAAUUACUGAGACAAUCUAAUACCUUCCAGACCCGGGGAGGCUCAGAGAGCUGAUGGGAUGGUCCCCAUCCUACACACAAGCUGAGGCAGGCCUGAGCCUAGAACCCAGCACCUGACUCCUGGGUCAAUGCUCUUUCUGCCUUGUCCAUUCAGAUUGCUUUGUUGAGGGGCACGGGCUUUUUUUUGUUUAUUUAUAUUUAAAAUCUGUAUAUAGCAAAAUGCGACACAGCCAAUUGUUUGUCUGCUUAAGAGCUUGCUUUGCUUUGCUUUGCCUGUGAACAAUUUUGUCAGCAUCACCCAUUAUGAGGGCCUAACACUAAGAAGGGUAGGGCAGUGCUAGGCCACGCAGAGAGGCUGGCACUGCCGCAGAACACCGCAGCGGGAAACGGACUUUUUCUACCACUGAGCUGUCUCAGCUCCAGGCAUUUCCCCCAGACGAACAGAAUGCAGAGUAUGCAAGGCAGAGAAGAUGAAUGAGGAUAAUAAGGGAGUGUACCUUUAACCCUUGUCAAACUGUCACUCUAGUAGGUAAGAAUAAUAUUCCCACUUUCAUUUGUAUAGAACUUUGUGGCUUAGAAAGAAUUCAUGCAUGAUCUUAUUGAAUGACUUUUGUAGACUACAAGAUAGAUAGGUCAUUCAGUCAUUCAUGCUACACAUGUAUUGAGCAGCUACUACAUACCAGGUAAUGCUGUAGGCACAGGGGAUAUACAGAUUUGUUUCCUUGCUUAAUAAAUAUUUAUAUAUGUCUACUA